GUCGAACGCGUUGGCCCAAUUGAUUGAUGGUGCUUGCACCUGAUUGAUUUUGGUCGCCAACGAGUGGCGGACGGGUGAGUAACACGUAGGUAACCUGCCCAGAAGCGGGGGACAACAUUUGGAAACAGAUGCUAAUACCGCAUAACANCGUUGUUCGCAUGAACAACGCUUAAAAGAUGGCUUCUCGCUAUCACUUCUGGAUGGACCUGCGGUGCAUUAGCUUGUUGGUGGGGUAACGGCCUACCAAGGCGAUGAUGCAUAGCCGAGUUGAGAGACUGAUCGGCCACAAUGGGACUGAGACACGGCCCAUACUCCUACGGGAGGCAGCAGUAGGGAAUCUUCCACAAUGGGCGCAAGCCUGAUGGAGCAACACCGCGUGAGUGAAGAAGGGUUUCGGCUCGUAAAGCUCUGUUGUUAAAGAAGAACACGUAUGAGAGUAACUGUUCAUACGUUGACGGUAUUUAACCAGAAAGUCACGGCUAACUACGUGCCAGCAGCCGCGGUAAUACGUAGGUGGCAAGCGUUAUCCGGAUUUAUUGGGCGUAAAGAGAGUGCAGGCGGUUUUCUAAGUCUGAUGUGAAAGCCUUCGGCUUAACCGGAGAAGUGCAUCGGAAACUGGAUAACUUGAGUGCAGAAGAGGGUAGUGGAACUCCAUGUGUAGCGGUGGAAUGCGUAGAUAUAUGGAAGAACACCAGUGGCGAAGGCGGCUACCUGGUCUGCAACUGACGCUGAGACUCGAAAGCAUGGGUAGCGAACAGGAUUAGAUACCCUGGUAGUCCAUGCCGUAAACGAUGAGUGCUAGGUGUUGGAGGGUUUCCGCCCUUCAGUGCCGGAGCUAACGCAUUAAGCACUCCGCCUGGGGAGUACGACCGCAAGGUUGAAACUCAAAGGAAUUGACGGGGGCCCGCACAAGCGGUGGAGCAUGUGGUUUAAUUCGAAGCUACGCGAAGAACCUUACCAGGUCUUGACAUCUUGCGCCAACCCUAGAGAUAGGGCGUUUCCUUCGGGAACGCAAUGACAGGUGGUGCAUGGUCGUCGUCAGCUCGUGUCGUGAGAUGUUGGGUUAAGUCCCGCAACGAGCGCAACCCUUGUUACUAGUUGCCAGCAUUAAGUUGGGCACUCUAGUGAGACUGCCGGUGACAAACCGGAGGAAGGUGGGGACGACGUCAGAUCAUCAUGCCCCUUAUGACCUGGGCUACACACGUGCUACAAUGGACGGUACAACGAGUCGCGAACUCGCGAGGGCAAGCAAAUCUCUUAAAACCGUUCUCAGUUCGGACUGCAGGCUGCAACUCGCCUGCACGAAGUCGGAAUCGCUAGUAAUCGCGGAUCAGCAUGCCGCGGUGAAUACGUUCCCGGGCCUUGUACACACCGCCCGUCACACCAUGAGAGUUUGUAACACCCAAAGUCGGUGGGGUAACCUUUUAGGAGCCAGCCGCCU
Molecule: ribosomal RNA, 1441 nt
Filed under: Limosilactobacillus fermentum
Lineage: Bacteria; Bacillati; Bacillota; Bacilli; Lactobacillales; Lactobacillaceae
Description: bacterial SSU rRNA
Rfam family: Bacterial small subunit ribosomal RNA
Source: RNAcentral